RNAcentral lists this ribosomal RNA (741 nucleotides) under bacterium. Its description in RNAcentral is "bacterial SSU rRNA". It matches the Rfam family "Bacterial small subunit ribosomal RNA", at positions 70 to 825 of the family's 1533-position model. The record is from RNAcentral.
UGAACCACCUUCGGGUGGGGAUUAGUGGCGAACGGGUGAGUAACACGUGGGCAAUCUGCCCUGCACUCUGGGACAAGCCCUGGAAACGGGGUCUAAUACCGGAUACUGACCCUCGCAGGCAUCUGCGAGGUUCGAAAGCUCCGGCGGUGCAGGAUGAGCCCGCGGCCUAUCAGCUAGUUGGUGAGGUAAUGGCUCACCAAGGCGACGACGGGUAGCCGGCCUGAGAGGGCGACCGGCCACACUGGGACUGAGACACGGCCCAGACUCCUACGGGAGGCAGCAGUGGGGAAUAUUGCACAAUGGGCGAAAGCCUGAUGCAGCGACGCCGCGUGAGGGAUGACGGCCUUCGGGUUGUAAACCUCUUUCAGCAGGGAAGAAGCGAAAGUGACGGUACCUGCAGAAGAAGCGCCGGCUAACUACGUGCCAGCAGCCGCGGUAAUACGUAGGGCGCAAGCGUUGUCCGGAAUUAUUGGGCGUAAAGAGCUCGUAGGCGGCUUGUCACGUCGGUUGUGAAAGCCCGGGGCUUAACCCCGGGUCUGCAGUCGAUACGGGCAGGCUAGAGUUCGGUAGGGGAGAUCGGAAUUCCUGGUGUAGCGGUGAAAUGCGCAGAUAUCAGGAGGAACACCGGUGGCGAAGGCGGAUCUCUGGGCCGAUACUGACGCUGAGGAGCGAAAGCGUGGGGAGCGAACAGGAUUAGAUACCCUGGUAGUCCACGCCGUAAACGGUGGGCACUAGGUGUGG